UGCGCAGGCGGUUAUGCAAGACAGAUGUGAAAUCCCCGGGCUCAACCUGGGAACUGCAUUUGUGACUGCAUGGCUAGAGUACGGUAGAGGGGGAUGGAAUUCCGCGUGUAGCAGUGAAAUGCGUAGAUAUGCGGAGGAACACCGAUGGCGAAGGCAAUCCCCUGGACCUGUACUGACGCUCAUGCACGAAAGCGUGGGGAGCAAACAGGAUUAGAUACCCUGGUAGUCCACGCCCUAAACGAUGUCAACUGGUUGUUGGAGGGUUUCUCUCAGUAACGUAGCUAACGCGUGAAGUUGACCGCCUGGGGAGUACGGCCGCAAGGUUGAA
RNAcentral lists this ribosomal RNA (328 nucleotides) under uncultured bacterium. RNAcentral describes it as "bacterial SSU rRNA". It matches the Rfam family "Bacterial small subunit ribosomal RNA", at positions 568 to 898 of the family's 1533-position model. The record is from RNAcentral.